RNAcentral lists this ribosomal RNA (470 nucleotides) under uncultured organism. Its description in RNAcentral is "partial 16S ribosomal RNA". It matches the Rfam family "Bacterial small subunit ribosomal RNA", at positions 333 to 799 of the family's 1533-position model. The record is from RNAcentral.
ACACUCCUGCGGGAGGCAGCAGUGAGGAAUAUUGGACAAUGGGUGGAAGCCUGAUCCAGCCAUCCCGCGUGCAGGAAGACGGCCCUAUGGGUUGUAAACUGCUUUUAUCUGGGGAUAAACCUACUUACGUGUAAGUAGCUGAAGGUACCAGAAGAAUAAGCACCGGCUAACUCCGUGCCAGCAGCCGCGGUAAUACGGAGGGUGCAAGCGUUAUCCGGAUUUAUUGGGUUUAAAGGGUCCGUAGGCGGACUGAUAAGUCAGUGGUGAAAUCCGACAGCUUAACUGUCGAACUGCCAUUGAUACUGUUAGUCUUGAGUAAGGUUGAAGUGGCUGGAAUAAGUAGUGUAGCGGUGAAAUGCAUAGAUAUUACUUAGAACACCAAUUGCGAAGGCAGGUCACUAAGUCUUAACUGACGCUGAUGGACGAAAGCGUGGGGAGCGAACAGGAUUAGAAACCCCAGUAGUCCCAUG